GUGGCGCCAGCCAUUGUGGAGCCAACGUUGAAAUACCAACCUUCUGUUACUUAGAGUCUAACUCGUGAGAAUGAGGACAUUGCAUGGUGGGAGUUUGACUGGGGUGGUCGCCUCCUAAAGAGUAACGGAGGCUCGCAAAGGUACCCUCAGUACGGUUGGUAAUCGUACGCAGAGCGCAUUAGUAAAAGGGUGCUUGACUGUGAGACUUACUAGUCGAGCAGGUGCGAAAGCAGGCUAAAGUGAUCCGGUGGUUUCCGUAUGGAAGGGCCAUCGCUCAAAGGAUAAAAGGUACUCCGGGGAUAACAGGCUGAUCUCCCCCAAGAGCUCAUAUCGACGGGGAGGUUUGGCACCUCGAUGUCGGUUCGUCACAUCCUGGGGCUGGAGAAGGUCCCAAGGGUUCGGCUGUUCGCCGAUUAAAGUGGCACGUGAACUGGGUUCAGAACGUCGCAAGACAGUUCGGUCUCUAUCUGUGGUGGGCGUU
RNAcentral lists this ribosomal RNA (481 nucleotides) under uncultured bacterium. RNAcentral's name for it is "bacterial LSU rRNA". It matches the Rfam family "Bacterial large subunit ribosomal RNA", at positions 2165 to 2655 of the family's 2925-position model. The record is from RNAcentral.